UGUCUCUCUCUCUCUACUACAGCAGGUUAAUGUCUCUCUCUCUCUACUUCAGCAGGUUAAUGUCUCUCUCUCUCUACUACAGCAGGUUAAUGUCUCUCUCUCUACUACAGCAGGUUAAUAUCUCUCUCUCUACUACAGCAGGUUAAUGCCUCUCUCUCUCUCUACUAGAGCAGGUUAAUGUCUCUCUCUCUACUACAGCAGGUUAAUGUGUCUCUCUCUCUCUACUACAGCAGGUUAAUGUCUCUCUCUCUACUACAGCAGGUUAAUGUCUCUCUCUCUCUACUUCAGCAGGUUAAUGUCUCUCUCUCUCUACUACAGCAGGUUAAUGUCUCUCU
Oncorhynchus keta (chum salmon) is the source of this 335-nucleotide long non-coding RNA. RefSeq lists it as uncharacterized. The record is from RefSeq and is a predicted model, not a curated record. NCBI's taxonomy places the organism in Eukaryota, Metazoa, Chordata, Actinopteri, Salmoniformes, Salmonidae. The transcript has 3 exons.